UACGUAGGCAGCGAGCGUUGUUCGGAGUUACUGGGCGUAAAGAGUGCGUAGGCGGUUUUCUAAGUUUGGUGUGAAAUCUCCCGGCUUAACUGGGAGGGUGCGCCGAAGACUGGAAGGCUUGAGUAUGGGAGAGGUAAGCGGAAUUCCUGGUGUAGCGGUGAAAUGCGUAGAUAUCAGGAGGAACACCUGCGGUGUAGACGGCUUACUGGACCAUAACUGACGCUGAGGCACGAAAGCUAGGGGAGCAAACAGG
This 253-nucleotide ribosomal RNA is filed under the name uncultured bacterium. RNAcentral's name for it is "partial 16S ribosomal RNA". It matches the Rfam family "Bacterial small subunit ribosomal RNA", at positions 524 to 776 of the family's 1533-position model. The record is from RNAcentral.